GACGAACGCUGGCGGCGUGCUUAACACAUGCAAGUCGAACGGAAAGGCCCUGCUUUUGUGGGGUGCUCGAGUGGCGAACGGGUGAGUAACACGUGAGUAACCUGCCCUUGACUUUGGGAUAACUUCAGGAAACUGGGGCUAAUACCGGAUCGGAGCUCCUGCUGCAUGGUGGGGGUUGGAAAGUUUCGGCGGUUGGGGAUGGACUGGCGGCUUAUCAGCUUGUUGGGGGGGUAGUGGCUUACCAAGGCUUUGACGGGUAGCCGGCCUGAGAGGUUGACCGGCCACAAUGGGACUAAGAUACGGCCCAGAGUCCUACGGGAGGCAGCAGUGGGGAGUAUUGCACAAUGGGCGGAAGCCUGAUGCAGCAACGCCGGGUGCGGGAUGACGGCCUGCGGGUGGUAAACCGCUUGCGCCUGUGACGAAGCGUGAGUGACGGUAAUGGGUAAAGAAGCACCGGCUAACUACGUG
RNAcentral lists this ribosomal RNA (468 nucleotides) under uncultured bacterium. RNAcentral's name for it is "partial 16S ribosomal RNA". It matches the Rfam family "Bacterial small subunit ribosomal RNA", at positions 28 to 507 of the family's 1533-position model. The record is from RNAcentral.